RNAcentral lists this long non-coding RNA (1171 nucleotides) under Gallus gallus (chicken). The record is from RNAcentral. Lineage: Eukaryota; Metazoa; Chordata; Aves; Galliformes; Phasianidae.
GUAACAUCCUGCAGGAGAUAAAAAAAAUCACUGAUUAGAAGUUUAAAUGCAAAUGAACUGUAUGUUAAACUGAAACAGAACUCAAGAUAAACAAGUAAGGAAAUGUAACGCUUACAUUUUUCUUAUGGGGAAAAAAGAGUGGUGAAGCAAAUGGGAAAUAAAGCCAAACAAAAUUAACUUGUGACAGAAAACUGAAGAAUGUAACUCCCCAUGGACCUGUAAGGAUUUCACGUUUGAGCACACACAGCUCUUACCGCUGAAGUUUCAUCCAGAAGUUGCCUAAAGUGUUCCCUCUUCUUUUUGGUAAGUGCUUCGAUGUGUUCAUUAAAGAGCUUUUCCUUCUCUUCUCUUUCCAGCAAGGAGCCAGACUCCCAUCGGUGGUCUUUGCGCAGGGUCCUUCUGGUAUCAGACCACGACACAUCUGAGGAACGCACCAUGUCAGACAGCAGUGCUUUGAAGUUCUGUAUAGCUUCUUCCCGUUUGUGCUGCUCACGCUCUCUGUCGAUCUCCUUGGUCUGCUCUGAACGAGCUUUCUGCACUUCUCUUUCUCGUUCACGCAAACUCGCCUCAAUGCGAGCCUGUCUUUCCAGCUCCUUUUCCUUUUCAGAAUCUAAAUUCUUAGCUAUUUUUUCAAUGUACUGUUUGAAAAGGUCUUCCCUCUGUGAAGAGCUAUCCACAGCUUUGUAACGAGGGUCAGUCUCUACUUUGUCCUUCACUUUGCUCCAGCGAGACUGACUGUCCAGGUGGUGGUUAGCCAGUAGUUCAAAGAAGUCCAUUUUGAUCUUCUCACCCCUCGUCUUCGAAUCUUCUUUUUCCUUCUUUCUUGCCGCUGUGAUAAACUCAUUAAACAAGGCCUCUCGAUCUUUCAUCUUUUCAAUUGCCUUGAAUCUCGAGUCUUUAGCAUGCUUGGCUGCAAAUUCACUAAAAGUAGUUCUCGGAUUAAUCUUUGAUUCUUCCAUCAUUUUCUUGAAAUCCUCCUUGGCCUGCAUUAUUUUGUUUUUCUUCUCCUUGCGCUCUUCUUCUGCUCGGGUUUUCACAUACUGAUCAAAUACCUGUUUUCUUUCUUUAGGGUUGAGAAGUAAAUAACGAGGAUCAAAAACUAUCUUGUGCAGUUCUUUCUCCCACGUUGAAAAAGCAGAGACCCCUCUUUCUAGAAGCAUGUCCUUGAAUU